Molecule: ribosomal RNA, 420 nt
Filed under: uncultured bacterium
Lineage: Bacteria
Description: bacterial SSU rRNA
Rfam family: Bacterial small subunit ribosomal RNA
Source: RNAcentral
UAAGGAAUAUUGCUCAAUGGGAGAAAUCCUGAAGCAGCAACGCCGCGUGGAGGAUGAAGGGUCUAUGACUUGUAAACUCCUGUAAAGAAGGAAAAAAUUCCCAUUAGAUGGGAGAUGAUGGUACUUCUGGAGUAAGCCCCGGCUAACUACGUGCCAGCAGCCGCGGUAAUACGUAGGGGGCAAGCGUUGUCCGGAUUUACUGGGUGUAAAGGGUGCUCAGGCGGAUUUGUAAGUCAGAGGUGAAAUCUUACAGCUUAACUGUGAAACUGCCUUUGAUACUGCAAGCCUAGAGUAUGGAAGAGAGUGAUGGAAUAUCUGGUGUAGCAGUGAAAUGCGUAGAUAUCAGAUAGAACACCAAUGGCGAAGGCAGUCACUUGGUCCAUUACUGACGCUAAAGCACGAAAGCGUGGGUAGCAAGCA